This 212-nucleotide unclassified non-coding RNA is filed under the name plant metagenome. Its description in RNAcentral is "partial contains small subunit ribosomal RNA, internal transcribed spacer 1, and 5.8S ribosomal RNA". The record is from RNAcentral.
UUUCCGUAGGUGAACCUGCGGAAGGAUCAUUAAAAAUGAAGCCGGGAAACCGGUCCUUCUAACCCUUGAUUAUCUUAAUUUGUUGCUUUGGGGGGCCGCGCAAGCACCGGCUUCGGCUGGAUCGUGCCCUCCAGAGGACACAACUCUGUAUCAAAUGUCGUCUGAGUACUAUAAAAUAGUUAAAACUUUCAACAACGGAUCUCUUGGUUCUG